Molecule: non-coding RNA, 3545 nt
Organism: Pelobates cultripes (western spadefoot toad)
Lineage: Eukaryota; Metazoa; Chordata; Amphibia; Anura; Pelobatidae
Source: the annotation of a GenBank genome assembly
CAAAUUUGUAAACUGUAUAUCAACUUGAAAAAAAAGGAUCUAUGAAAAAUAAAUUAACUUAGAAAUAAAUAAAAUUUUAAUAAUUAACAUUUACUUAAGUUAAUACGCUUUCUAUAAACAAAAAACACACAGAUCCAAAGUGACCACUCAAUCUAUUCGGCAGAGGUAAUGUGCAAUAAUUCACAUCCGCUGCCUUCGAGCCUUCAUUUCUGCAAAUUUAUCGAUUACUUCAUCAAAGCCAAUCUUCCUUGCAUAUUCAUGCUCAACUGAAAGUAUAGCCAGAUUUGUCAACCUUGUCUCACUCAUGGUUGAGCGAAUUUUUUUUUUUUUUUAAAUCAGUUUUAAUUUGGAAAAACUUAUUUCACAUGAAGCAAUAGACACACAGAGUCAAAAAGAAUCUUAAACACAGUGACAUUUGACAGAGAUUCACAAUAAUCCCAUUUAACAAUGAACUGCAAAGCCGUCCAUUUCUUUGCUUCUUCAACACUGAGAUUGGCAGCUUCCAAAUGCUUCCGAAGAUGUUCAAUUUCCCUAAAGAUGUCUUCAUUAGAGAAUUCGUCCAAAAUCUCAGUCAAUUUUGGAGGAUAAUUACAAAUAUUUUUCUCUGUGGGACACAUCAGGGGUGCUGUCAAAAAGAAUCCCAAAGUACUUUGCUUUCUUGAUAUCAGCCACUAUUUUGUCCUUCACAUGAUUUCCCAAAAGACCUCGUUCUGAAUUUUUGAAGAGAAAUAGGAAGUCAUUCUAUUUCCAGAUGCAACAGCAUGUUUCAGCCUCAUGAAAUGUUCCUUUAAAAUCGGAUCAUAGUUUGAGAGCAAUUCUACCAAUUCGAGUAAGUUGCCUUUGUUUGUGGAUGACAUGGUCUCUCUAUGACCACGAAAGGGGAGAUUCUGGUGGGCCAGAAACAAAGUUACAUCCAAAAGGCAAUGCAAAAUAUCCCUCCGUUUCCUUUUCUCUCUGUCCACUGUUGUUUGAUGGACAUGAUCAAGGCAUUUUUGUAGCUUCAAUCCUGCUCUCAAGUACUUCCAUUUCUCCAAGCAUGUAAGAUGCUGCUCAGAAGCCUCAUGAUCAGACACUAGUGAUGUCGCGAACCGUCCGCAAACUUGCCGCGAACCCGGUCAGCUGACACAUCCCUGCCAAUCUCCGGCAGACCCUCUCUCCCAGACCCUCCUACUUCCUGGACAGCAUUCAUGUUGAAGGCAGCUUCAACAUGGAUGCUGUCCAGGAGGUGGGAGGGUCUGCCGGAGAUUGGCAGGGAUGUGUCAGCUGACCGGAGUUCGCCGCAAACCGUUUGCGACAUCACUAUCAGACACCUUUGGGUUCAGCUUCCACCACAAUUGAAACCCAGUAACAUAACUGGAUGCCCCUGUUACUUUGUCAUCAACAGCAAAACGUCUGCAGGAAAAACAAAACAAACUUUGUUUUGAUGGAGAGUACACCAUCCACGUUCUAAGAAUUUUUUCGCCAUUAGGCAGAGACUUAUAGAACCAUGAAGUAGCCAGGUGUCAACUCUUCCCUUUUGAUUUCUCUCCUUGCCUUUCAACAGGACUGAAUGGCCCAUCUCUAUUUUGGAAAGGUUAACUUCCCCUCUUAAUAAGGUCCACUCUUAAAACAUCUGGAACUGGAACUGGCCAAGCAGUAACAUCAGAAUAAGAUAGUCGAACAGUCUCCUCUUCCUCAUCAUCAUCAGUCUUGCUGAUGCAGGCUUCUGCUGGCAUCUCCUUCAUCUACAUCACUUUCACUGCUUGAAGAUAAAAUGAUCUUCUCCAAUUCUUGUGCUUUCACAUAUGGAGCUUCUUGAGAAGAUACUUCAGGCAUUUCACCUCUGGAUUCAACAGACUGAACAUCUUCAGCACUUUCUCCUACUGCGGUAGAUGUUGAAGGUGCAACAUAUUUUAAAACUGAUCCAGACAUCGCCUCAGCUGACUUUUCUCUUGCCUUCCUAAUUUUUCAUUGCUGAGACCCGCUUGGUCGAUUUUGCUUCAUAUUGGUGUUUUCUGCAGAAAAAUCCUAAAUGUAUUUUGGCUCUAGGGUUCACUAGUGCGAUAUCUCUUAUAUUUCCCAUCUUGGCAUACCAUUUGUAAAAGUAGACAACCCAGGGUAUUUAAAGGGACACUAUAGUCACCUAGACCACUUCAGCUCAAUGAAGUGGCCUGGGUUCCAGGUCCCCCAGAUUUUAACCCUCCAGAUACAAAAAUCGCAUCCAGCUUGAACGUCCAUAAGAAAGCAUUGAGAAAUGCUUUCCUAUGGACUGUUUGAAUGCGCGCGAGGCUCUUGCCGCGCAUGUACAUUCGGCUCCACUCAGGAGCUGACGUUGGCGGGGGAGGAGAGGUCACCACUAGAGGCUGGAUUAACCCUCAGUGAAACAUCUCUGAAACUGCUAUGUUUUCAGUUGCAGGGUUAAAACUAGAGGGACCUGGCACCCAGACUACUUCAUUGAGCUGAUCCUUUAAGGGGUUAAACACAUUUCUAGGAAGAGAAACGGCACAGGAAAAGGAUUUGGGUUCAAAAGAUGUAGCGGCUAGGGCAGAGGUUUUGUAUAAAUGCGCCAGUUUUGUAGAACGGGGAAGACCAGUGCUUUUGUAGAAAGGGGCUCGUGAGAAACUUCUAGAAAACUCCUGCCCUCCUCCUUUCUACAAAGCCCCUUGUCUCGCCCCUUCUAGAAAACCCCUGCACACUGAUCACAUAAAUUUCAUACACUCCCUACAUAUAAAAACCCUGCACACCCCCUUAAUUAAAAAAAACCUGCACAACCCCCCUUAAUAACAAAAAACCUGCAGUGCACAUCCUCCUUUAAUAAAUAAAAUACUGCAACCCCCUUAAUUAAUAGAAACCUGCACCCCCCCAUUAAACCUACCCCCUUAAAUAAACCUCCCCUGCGCUGCACCCCUCUUUAAUUAAACCUCCCCCCUUUAAUUCUUUAAUCCUCACCCCUUAAUUAAUCCGCACCCCCCUUUAAUUAAACCUCCCUCCCCUUUAAUUCUUUAAUCCAUUAUCCACCCCCCUUUAACUAAUUUAGCCCCAUCACAUAAAAUGACUACUCACAUUUUGAUGAUGCCUUGCCUCCGAGACCGACCACUGGGUGCCUCACCGCCCGGAUAUUGGAUCCUUCCGUUGAAGAUCCGUGAAGGCGGACUGACGGCGCUGCGCACGUCAUCACGUUGCGCGCAAAGGUGCUGCGGCUGUGCGCAGUGUAAUGAUGGGGGGUGACACAUGACACUGGAAGUCAUGGCACCCCCCCAGUCAGUGGCACACGGGGCGGGUCGCCCCCCCUUAGUACGCCACUGGGUUGCUCAUCCAGAUUCUGGCUUGCUUAAGGAUUCCCUCCCCCCUAGUCUUUCUUCCUCAUUUCAGGUAUACACUCUACAUAAAUAUAUUUUGAUUGCCCUACACAAUCUUUGGCUGACAAUUUGUUUUGUUGUACAACAAGGUUGUUUUUUUUUUUUUUUCCUUAUUAAAACAUUUGAAUAAAAAUAAAUGCAAAUCCUGUUGUAGUGUGCUGGAACGACAUGGUCAGCUCUUCAAGUCAAUAGUGUGUGUGUAUGUAU